This 353-nucleotide ribosomal RNA is filed under the name uncultured Butyrivibrio sp. Its description in RNAcentral is "partial 16S ribosomal RNA". Lineage: Bacteria; Bacillati; Bacillota; Clostridia; Lachnospirales; Lachnospiraceae. The record is from RNAcentral.
GGAGUUUGGACCGUCUCUCAGUUCCAAUGUGGCCGAUCACCCUCUCAGGUCGGCUACCGAUCGUUGCUUUGGUAGGCCGUUACCCUGCCAACUGGCUAAUCUGACGCGGGCCCAUCUCAUACCACCGGAGUUUUUCACACUGUAUCAUGCGAUACUGUGCGCUUAUGCGGUAUUAACAGUCGUUUCCAGCUGUUAUCCCCCAGUAUGAGGCAGGUUGCCCACGCGUUACUCACCCGUCCGCCACUAAGAUUUAACAAGAAUCCGCCGAAGCCUCAUCAGCGUUAAAUCUCCGUUCGACUUGCAUGUGUUAGGCACGCCGCCAGCGUUCACUCCUGAGCCAGGAUACAAACUCU